UGGGGAAUAUUGCACAAUGGGCGCAAGCCUGAUGCAGCCAUGCCGCGUGUAUGAAGAAGGCCUUCGGGUUGUAAAGUACUUUCAGCGGGGAGGAAGGGAGUAAAGUUAAUACCUUUGCUCAUUGACGUUACCCGCAGAAGAAGCACCGGCUAACUCCGUGCCAGCAGCCGCGGUAAUACGGAGGGUGCAAGCGUUAAUCGGAAUUACUGGGCGUAAAGCGCACGCAGGCGGUUUGUUAAGUCAGAUGUGAAAUCCCCGGGCUCAACCUGGGAACUGCAUCUGAUACUGGCAAGCUUGAGUCUCGUAGAGGGGGGUAGAAUUCCAGGUGUAGCGGUGAAAUGCGUAGAGAUCGGGAGGAAGACCGGUGGCGAAGGCGGCCCCCUGGACGAAGACUGACGCUCAGGUGCGAAAGCGUGGGGAGCAAACAGG
This 429-nucleotide ribosomal RNA is filed under the name Chloroflexota bacterium. RNAcentral's name for it is "Chloroflexi bacterium partial 16S ribosomal RNA". It matches the Rfam family "Bacterial small subunit ribosomal RNA", at positions 355 to 776 of the family's 1533-position model. Lineage: Bacteria; Bacillati; Chloroflexota. The record is from RNAcentral.